CCUACGGGUGGCAGCAGUGAGGAAUAUUGGUCAAUGGGCGCGAGCCUGAACCAGCCAAGUCGCGUGAGGGAAGACGGUCCUAUGGAUUGUAAACCUCUUUUGUCGGGGAGCAAAAGACGCCACGCGUGGCGUUCCGAGAGUACCCGAAGAAAAAGCAUCGGCUAACUCCGUGCCAGCAGCCGCGGUAAUACGGAGGAUGCGAGCGUUAUCCGGAUUUAUUGGGUUUAAAGGGUGCGUAGGCGGAAUGCCAAGUCAGCGGUAAAAUCGCGGGGCUCAACCUCGCUCCGCCGUUGAAACUGGCGUUCUUGAGUGGGCGAGAAGUAUGCGGAAUGCGUGGUGUAGCGGUGAAAUGCAUAGAUAUCACGCAGAACUCCGAUUGCGAAGGCAGCUCACUGGACUGCAACUGACACUGAGGCUCGAAAGUGUGGGUAUCAAACAGGAUUAGAUACCCUAGUAGUC
RNAcentral lists this ribosomal RNA (459 nucleotides) under uncultured bacterium. RNAcentral describes it as "partial 16S ribosomal RNA". It matches the Rfam family "Bacterial small subunit ribosomal RNA", at positions 338 to 795 of the family's 1533-position model. The record is from RNAcentral.